This is a long non-coding RNA of Thamnophis sirtalis, 1441 nucleotides long. RefSeq lists it as uncharacterized. Lineage: Eukaryota; Metazoa; Chordata; Lepidosauria; Squamata; Natricidae. The record is from RefSeq and is a predicted model, not a curated record.
UUGCGAGCGACUGGACUGUCGUCUUUCUGGUUGCCUCUCCUCCGCCUCUCGGGGGAGGGGGUGGAAUAACGAGCCCCGCGAAUCCUUGUCCCGGAAGUUUCGAUUCAGCCAGGAGCCGGCUUACGGAACUCUUUUCUGGGACUGGCUGCGGCGAUUUGAUGCAACGGAGCUUCCUCGCUGGCUCUUCUCGCCCCGCCUCACGAACCACAGGAGCCGUAGCUAUCCGGGCCGCAGGCCUGAAGUGGGGGGCGGAGCCUCCUGGAAAGAGGCGGAGCCGCGCCCACGAGCGAGCCGACCAUGAGGACUGUUUUUUUUAAACGGAGUCAAUAGGGGAAGUGGGCUGAGUUAAGAGCGGGGAUGAGUCACGCCGGAGGGAGGGCGGAGCCUCGGGAACGUGUUAGGGACGGAGGGCGGCUGGUGAGAAAACGCGCCACGGGAGAACUAAGCCUCUGGUUAGUGGUUUGGAGAGCCCGCCUUCAUCUUUCGUUUGAAAGACACAUUUUCUGCCCAAUCAACAGGAGAGAUGCUGAGCGAAAGGAGGAAGGUUUCCGUCUUUUGCAAGCGAUGUUUUUACCUGCCCGGAAGAAAGACGCACCUGUGGGACGGUGGUUUCCUUUCUUUUUUUACCCGAGUAAUGAUUGGCUUGGAGGCAUGGUUUGCGGGUCUGUCCUGUGUUUACCCGAAAGGUAAACCGAAAGGAGUAACCUGACAAAGGAUUACCGUUUUGCAAGGCAUUCCUGGUUGCGUUGACUGCAGAAAUCAGUCCUCUGAUUAAAUGGAGUUUAUUCCGAAGUGAGCGGACAGAGGAUUGUAUCUGAUGGGACAAACAAUGGCUUUUCUUGUAACCUCUUAGCCUUCCCGGUGGAUAGUUGACAGGCCAGGUAGUUCUCUUCUGGAAGGAUUGUUGCUUUCCUCAGCGAUUAAGGCACAUAGAAGUUAGAAAAUUAUACUAGUAUUACCCUGGGACAACAGUUGCUGGUGUAAUAUGAAACAGGCCUGUAAGCAUCUAAACAUGGGUAAUUAAGCAUAUUGUACAGAUGAAAAAGAUAGCUGAGAACAUUCCUUCUAAAUCCCUUUGCGUAAUGUAAAUCUAAGAUUCAAAAUGUACCUUUUAUGUUUAUUUUUAAAACAAGCCAUGUCUUGUUCUAGUUUUUUUUUUAAAAUCACCCCAAGUAACAAAUAUAAUCAAAAGUAGAAAAAAAUAGCAUUUUUUAAAAAAAUAUCCCAUAGAAAUUCUAUUUAUUUUAUGCCAUUUUUGAGAGCUUUAUCACUAUAAAUAUAUGCUAUGUUUAUUUUUAAAAAAUAAAAAUCUUUCAUGGAAAUUCUAUUUACUUUAUUGCAUUUUUGAGAGCUUUUAUCACAAUAAAAAUGUUACUUUUAUUAAAAAUAUAUUGCACCUGCAUUUUUGUUGAAUUGUUUUGUAAUAUUUGUGUGUUUUAAA